CAAGCAGUGAUUGGGGGGGGGGGCAAAAGUCUUGCCGCAGGCUGCCACUGGGGCAAGGUAUACCAGAGAUGUGGAACCCCGAAUCCAGACCAUACAAAUUGAUCACUUUAUGCUAACUCUUAAGACAGAAAACGGCCUAGAAGAUUAAUGAAAACGGCCUUCACUUUCUACUGACCCUGAAUACUGAAAAUUCACAGGUUCAGUUUGGUAGACAGUUGCCUACUACGUUGAGGCAGUAGCAGCUGCUGCAAACUCCUUGUUGGACGAUGGCCUGUCGUCUCCGACACCAGGAACUUGUGCUGUGCGGUUUACCGUUGCAGCCUCCUCGUCCCCGGCCCCUGUAACCUGUGCAGUCUCUUCAGCAAUCUGCUUUGAGCCCCUGCUUGCAGCAGUUUUUUAAGUGGUGAGUAUUGACACCAGUACAGUAUCAUAGCUAUGCAGCUAUCCAUGUUCAGAGAACAGAAAACUGGAAAGGCACAGUACUUGUAUGAGUAGAUGACAAGGCCAAUUGCUGUGCCGGCAAAAGCUACGAAGUACAUCCAGUCAACCUGCACAUGGGCAGAGUUUGCUUCCACCAGAUCAGUUUAUGAAUGGUUAUUGUGAAUUGAUAUGAAUAAAUGGAGAAAGAAAUCCAUGUGGUCAUACCUUCUCAUGGUAAGCAAAGAUACGGAUUAAAACAGCCCACAUGUCGGAGGUUAGUAGUGAGAGAUUUAGCAUGGUUGCACCACAUAUCUGUAAAAAUCAAAUGCUCAUAUGUUCUGUAAAUUUAUUCAGGACAAUCAUGAAUUAGUCUGCAAGAGGACAGUGGUUUCUACCUUGAGUAUAA
Molecule: long non-coding RNA, 826 nt
Organism: Panicum virgatum (switchgrass)
Lineage: Eukaryota; Viridiplantae; Streptophyta; Magnoliopsida; Poales; Poaceae
Exons: 3
Source: RefSeq, a predicted model, not a curated record